AGUCCGCCGUCCGCGGGGAGGCAGCCCAGGCGCGCACGACCCCCUCGAACACACCCCGGCCCCGCGCACCUGCUCCUCAUCGUGUCCGGAUGCGCAGGCGCCUGGGACCAGCGGAACAAGCCGGGGAGGGCUUGUUCGGCCACAAAGUUGGUUGCCGGGGUGGGGAGAAUGUGCUGGAUUACCCACCCACGAGCCAGGAGUCGGGGUGGGAGGAAUCAGCCUUCCUCCAGGACGGCGCAGCCCACCGGGCGCCUGCUAAGUGCCCAGCACUGACCUCACCUUUAGAAAAGAAAUCUACCUAUGCCACGAUGCGGAGCAUACUAAUAAGCCCAGGGAAGAAGAGUCAGACCCAGUGCCAGCGCAGGGGAAACGCAUCUAAUCCAGAACAGCAGACACAGCUCCUCUCCCAUGGAACACCCAGAGCAGACAUUGCCAGUCGAUCCCAGCACCCUUUCCCCGGGAGCCUGGGCUCAGCCUCAAGACUUUGCUUCCGCUUCACAAAGCUCUGCACAGCCAGUUCUCAUC
This 525-nucleotide long non-coding RNA is filed under the name Homo sapiens (human). RNAcentral's name for it is "HSALNT0405985". Lineage: Eukaryota; Metazoa; Chordata; Mammalia; Primates; Hominidae. The record is from RNAcentral.